This is a non-coding RNA of Tachysurus fulvidraco (yellow catfish), 1005 nucleotides long. The record is from the annotation of a RefSeq genome assembly. Lineage: Eukaryota; Metazoa; Chordata; Actinopteri; Siluriformes; Bagridae.
CAGCUGAAGUGUGUUUAUGCAAAUUCACCCUGUUAUUAAAAACAGCCUCUUGCAGUUUGAAGUUUGUGUCACACGACUGAAUCAAAGAGCAUGAUGAUGGGGCUGAGGGUCACUCAGUACUACAUCUUUGUUAUAAUGUUAACCAAAGGUGUCAGCAGUGAUGAGAUCAGACUGGACCAGUCUCCUGCUGUGGUAAAGAGACCUGGAGAAACUGUGAAGAUCUCCUGUAAGAUACACGGAUAUUCAAUGACAAGCUACAGCAUACACUGGAUGAGACAGAAACCAGGGAAAGCUCUGGAAUGGCUUGGCUGGAUGUAUACAGGCAAUAAUGAUGCAACAUAUGCAGAGUCUGUGAAGAACCAGCUCACCUUUACAGAAGACGUCUCAGCAAGCACACAGUACUUAGAGGCCAAGAGUAUGAGGACAGAGGACACUGCGGUUUAUUACUGCACCCGACAAGCCACAGUGACUGAAGCUGAGGAAGCAGCUGUACUAAAACCAGACACACAUUGUAACUGAACUAACUGAAGUUGCUUAACUUAUAAUUGUAACACAGUUGAACACAGUUUGUAUCUAUUUACUGCUCCAAUUAUCUAUAAAUGUACCUGGAUAUAACCCUAAAGUAGAUGUGGCCUAAACUAAUUAUCAGGAAUGAAAAUAUACAUAAACCCUGUUUCUAUGAUCCUGGAAACACUUGAAAAAGCUACAGGUAGAAAUAACAGCUCUGUCAGCAUGCUGUGUGAAUGUGGUUCUGACUGUUCCUCAAACCAAUAAACUAGUAGACAUCACAGUCCCAAUACACACUGUAAUAGUUUGACUCACUUUUAUAUUUAUGCUUUUAUGUGUAUCACAGUGUAAGAAAAAAUCAAGCCAAAGCAGCAGAAGUGGUAGGGAGCGUUAACAAAUACUACAAACAGAGACAGAGUGAGAACUAUGGAAACAGUUUAAAAUCAGAGGAUGAAAGUCAUUUACAUACUAAAUGUAACUUACAGAUUCAGUGUAAAA